This 789-nucleotide ribosomal RNA is filed under the name uncultured Staphylococcus sp. Its description in RNAcentral is "bacterial SSU rRNA". It matches the Rfam family "Bacterial small subunit ribosomal RNA", at positions 83 to 857 of the family's 1533-position model. The record is from RNAcentral. Lineage: Bacteria; Bacillati; Bacillota; Bacilli; Caryophanales; Staphylococcaceae.
UCUCUGAUGUUAGCGGCGGACGGGUGAGUAACACGUGGAUAACCUACCUAUAAGACUGGGAUAACUUCGGGAAACCGGAGCUAAUACCGGAUAAUAUUUUGAACCGCAUGGUUCAAAAGUGAAAGACGGUCUUGCUGUCACUUAUAGAUGGAUCCGCGCUGCAUUAGCUAGUUGGUAAGGUAACGGCUUACCAAGGCAACGAUGCAUAGCCGACCUGAGAGGGUGAUCGGCCACACUGGAACUGAGACACGGUCCAGACUCCUACGGGAGGCAGCAGUAGGGAAUCUUCCGCAAUGGGCGAAAGCCUGACGGAGCAACGCCGCGUGAGUGAUGAAGGUCUUCGGAUCGUAAAACUCUGUUAUUAGGGAAGAACAUAUGUGUAAGUAACUGUGCACAUCUUGACGGUACCUAAUCAGAAAGCCACGGCUAACUACGUGCCAGCAGCCGCGGUAAUACGUAGGUGGCAAGCGUUAUCCGGAAUUAUUGGGCGUAAAGCGCGCGUAGGCGGUUUUUUAAGUCUGAUGUGAAAGCCCACGGCUCAACCGUGGAGGGUCAUUGGAAACUGGAAAACUUGAGUGCAGAAGAGGAAAGUGGAAUUCCAUGUGUAGCGGUGAAAUGCGCAGAGAUAUGGAGGAACACCAGUGGCGAAGGCGACUUUCUGGUCUGUAACUGACGCUGAUGUGCAGAAAGCGUGGGGAUCAAACAGGAUUAGAUAUCCUGGUAGUCCACGCCGUAAACGAUGAGUGCUAAGUGUUAGGGGGUUUCCGCCCCUUAGUGCUGCAGCUAACG